GCUAUGAUGAAUAAAAGGCAUUGAUCAGGUCUUGAACUGAUAAAGCCAUUUUGUCCUCUAAGAAGUUCUGAGCUU
Molecule: non-coding RNA, 75 nt
Organism: Xenopus tropicalis (tropical clawed frog)
Lineage: Eukaryota; Metazoa; Chordata; Amphibia; Anura; Pipidae
Source: Rfam